This is a long non-coding RNA of Gambusia affinis (western mosquitofish), 4009 nucleotides long. RefSeq lists it as uncharacterized. Lineage: Eukaryota; Metazoa; Chordata; Actinopteri; Cyprinodontiformes; Poeciliidae. The transcript is spliced from 4 exons. The record is from RefSeq and is a predicted model, not a curated record.
UACCUUAUAAAAGCUCACUUCAAUCGGCCAGACCUAGAUUUUUAGGCUGAUCAGAGUUCCCCUUUGUAGUACACGUUAGAAUUUGCAUGCACACUCCCCAAACGAAUCGGACUUUCUCGACAAACAAGAAAGUCUUAUUAAAACGAACUAAAUAAGGCUAGAUUGAUUUUUUUUGCACUUGAGCGGGUUUUAUAUUGUGUUUGAACUGGAAACAAUAGACAUAAAUGCUGGAAACCACCAAAUCUGGCAACCUCAACGAAUGGCCAAGUUUUUUUUUAAAAAUGAGCGUGAGGCGCAUGCGCCAUGAUGCACAUUAUUAUGAGGGAAUUUCCACGUGACCGUUUCAAAUAAAACGCGGGCUGCAUUUUGCCACAAUGCGACAUGAAACAGCGUUCUCAUACGCAACCAUUCUGGAAUCCGGAUUUUAAAAAAAAGGGAUAAUUUCUGAUCUCCCAAGACGCCAAAUCCGCUUAGACACCCAGCCUAACGACUGAAGACUUUUCUGGAUCAGACUGAAAUCGAUUCCGUGUUGGUGCUGCCUAUUAAUUAGGCGUCCACCUGCUGAGUAUCAGCUGGUGUACCGACAGAGUAGACCGCAGGAGCGCCAUGUUUGAAGUCGCUGGGUUUAUUAUAAGAGCAACAGAAGAGGAGCGGCCGAUCGACCAUGGCGUCUCGGCGGCGGUUUGUUUGGCUACUGGCGUACCUGAACUUUCCGAGGAGGACAAUAUGGCGUGUGGAACUAGCAGCAGAUCGAUAAUGGAUAUUUUAGGUGAUCUACAAUCAAGCCUUCAAUCAACCGGAGGACCGCUUCAAGCUGACCGGGGGAUCCGCCCGACCCAACAAACUUAGGUUGGGUCAAGCAACUGUUCGAUGGCGGAUCCAGAAUGCAUCUCAGGUUCUGUUGCAGUGGGAGUUUCAUCGUGUCCUGCAGCAGCUUGAUGCAAUCAAUGAGCCGACCCGUUCGGCUUGCCCAUCUGAAGCGCCGCUGCUGGAGAAGAUUUGAGAUCAGCUUAAAAAUGGCUUCACCUGUUCAGUUGGAGUCACUCUGAGCCGAUGGAGGCCGGAAGAGAGACGCAGCGACAAUCUGCUGCUGGAAGAUCCGAGAGAAGAAGACGGGGAAUUUACUGCUGAACCGACUCGAAGUCGCUUCCGAUCCAGAUGACCCGGUGAACUACAUCUGAAUCCAGCCUGGUUCCCUUCAUCCAUCUGUCCUGGGAGCUGAAUAACCACUUUGAUUUUUUGAUUUUUUUACAGGGAUUUUCUCAGUCUGUUGAAAUGAAAUUAAGAAAACCGGAAAAGUAAAACCUUUGAGAUGAGACAGAAAAAGGGACGACUGUAAAGAUCGGGACAUUAUCCCUUAAAUUUUAUCUCCAGUGCUGAUUGUUGUCCCAAUUGUUUAAAACUACUGGCUGUUUAUUGAAUCUGGGAUGUUUUCUGGACAUAAUGUUUGACGUGAGGCCAGAUAUUAAACCUCCCAGGCACGAUAAUCAGUCAAUGUUUAUCGCAGCAUUAAAUAUCCUGGAUUAUCAUCCCUCAGUGUACUUCUGAAUUUAAAAUGAAAACAUUAGAUUGACUUAUUUUAAGGUAUCCAAGAUUUGAAUCACAGCUGUUGAAUUUGAAUACAGCAUCAAUUUUAUUCAGUAUUGAUCAGCAAGAAACUUGAUAUUGAAUAUUACUAUUCAGAACAGUGAGGAUUUUAUUAUUGAUAAAGAACUAAUUGCAUUACUGUGAAUGUUAAUUAUGCAAACUGGUGGCUUUCGAUGCACUUCCAGACUGAUUUACUUCUCUACUGUUAGACAAUGAAGGGCGACAUGUAGAUAAUGUGCAGAUUGUAAUUUACUAUCUGCACACGGUGAUGUUUUUGUUUUGUUUUGUUUUUUAGCAUCUUUAAGUUAAAAAUGUGUACUCCAAUUUCCCAGAAACACUAUUUGGCUUUAAUAUAUUAACAGAAAAAUAAAAUCUAGACAGAGUAUAUCUACAUACAGUGAAAAUGUUUUUCAGAACAUCAAACUGAUUUAGCCAGACAUUGCUGCUGCUUUUUCAUCUGGUUCAUAUUCCAUACAAAGCCUCCAGAAAUCUGAUUGUCAUUACCACACAUCUCCACUAGGUGGAGCGGUUUCACAUCUUAUCAGGUCGCUGAUCUUUAACUGUUUUCUGCUUAAAAGUAAGAGUGCUUACUGUUUUAUGUAUAAAACAUGUUUCAGCAUUUUCUUUUUAAAGUGUUAAAAAUUAGGAUUUAUAAAAAAAACACUUGUGGAUUAAAUAAAAAACUGUAGCCAGGAUUAAAUUACCAUAAUUUGACUCUUCGUUCCCUUUUAGAAGACUAAAUUUAUUGUAGCAAAACUUAAGUGAAAUUGAAUUUGUUACACAAAAUCCAGUUUAAUAAAGUUCUGUUGUCUUAAUAUGUGACUCAAAAAACGCACAAGAGUUUGCAUUUGUAUUAAAAUUUUUUGUUUAAGUUAUUAAAAGAUUAAAUUUAACACAAUUUUGGAAUGGUUUCUUAUAUGUAUUUUGUGGGAGUGGAAGAGUCAAAAAUAUUUAACUUUUAGUUAUUUCAGAUUCAAAAGUCUAAAAUGUGCAACUUGUAAACUAAGAAAUUUUCUUUUGUUUUCUAGAAAUAGAUUUUUGGUGGAAAGUAACUGUUUUUCUGUAUACAGUGUCCUUAACACACCAUUAUAUUUAACUAUUAAUAAUAUGCAUUACUUUUUAAGAUAAAUAGUGAAGAGUUUUGUUGUUUUUUGUCACCUUAAAAGCAUUUUUAACAUAAAUAACUGACUGUUUCACUGUAUAAAAGUAGGAAUGGUUUAAAAAGUUGGUUACAUCUUCAGCAUCGAUCAGGCUAACCAGGAAGUGUCCUACCGCAGCAGCCAAUCAGAAUCCAGUUCUUGUUGCCAAGCAGAGCAGAUGUUCAGAACUGAACUCUGAUUGGCUGUUCUGUCUUCCUUUCAGUGAUUCCUGAGCAGAUGAUGUCCCCGGGUCCAUAUGGUGGACCUUUGUGACUCUUGUCAACUUUAAAAGCUGCGGUCCGUCCCCCCUCCCCCUCCUGCUGCUGAAUGGGGAGUCAACGCCAUGCUGUCCUGCCUAAGCGUGCCUUUUGUUCCGCCUCCUCCGCUCACUCUCGGCUCCAGACUUUGUUUUGGGUGAAAGGAUCCGUCUCAAAUGUCCCGGUCAGCCAGCAGCAGCUGCUCCAGGACCCCGCCAUUAUUCCCCACAAAGGAGAGGCGAGGCGGCCCCUCCCACCCUGCUUUCUGCUCUUUGUGUCCAUUCAUGAGGCUGCACAAGGGCUGCCUGCAGCUUUUUCUACAGAAUGUUGCAGGAGCCUGAAGCUGAAUGUUUGGUGACCCAGUGGGACGUUGAUGCUGUAGUGACCAGUAUGACCAGUAUGACCAGCAUGCAGGUCAGAGAGACUCUGGAGUUUCAAAGAUCUGAACGUCAAACUGGAGAGGAAAAGAAAUCGCAGCGUUUGUUUGGAACAAAAGAUCUUUCAUUAAGUCUCUCCAUUCAACAGCAGCAUUUAGUUGAAUUUAGUUGUCGAUUAAACUGAGGCAAAGUAAAAGGUUUGACAGCUUAGUUGGACCAGUUAUGUAAUUACAUAAAAUAUAUUGUUAAAUUGUAAUUAAAAACCCCAGUAUCACUUACAAUGUAAAUACAUUAUGUUCUCAUCUUUUCAAAUAUUGUUGAUUGUGACCCCAGACAAAAACAUUGAGUAAAAAUGACAAAUUUAAGCUGUUGGUCGUCAAAAGUGACAAAUCUGAAGCAUGAUGGGUAAAAAAAGUUGAAUCCUCAGGAAACAAAAUAAAGAAAGAAAAGCACUUAAAUAAACUCUAUUAGCUACAGAACAGCUGAAAUGCAAAGUCAAGUUUUAGAAGAAAUGUUGUAAAAUAAUAAAAUGUGAAAUUUCAUGGGUCUGAAUUUAAUGCUGCAGGAAAAUGUUUGGUCUUUUUUAACAUCUAAAAAAAUAAAAUCUUAAAACGAUGAAAACAGAGUAAAAUAAUUAAAUUUAAUGUAG